AGAAUUCAGUGAAUCAUCGAGUCUUUGAACGCACAUUGCGCCCCCUGGCAUUCCGGGGGGCAUGCCUGUCCGAGCGUCAUUGCUGCCCAUCAAGCCCGGCUUGUGUGUUGGGUCGUCGUCCCCCCCGGGGGACG
This 134-nucleotide ribosomal RNA is filed under the name Aspergillus versicolor. RNAcentral's name for it is "5.8S ribosomal RNA". The stretch from base 1 to 79 matches the Rfam family "5.8S ribosomal RNA", at positions 76 to 154 of the family's 154-position model. From Rfam's summary of the family: 5.8S ribosomal RNA (5.8S rRNA) is a component of the large subunit of the eukaryotic ribosome. The record is from RNAcentral. Lineage: Eukaryota; Fungi; Ascomycota; Eurotiomycetes; Eurotiales; Aspergillaceae.